Molecule: non-coding RNA, 6870 nt
Organism: Rattus norvegicus (Norway rat)
Lineage: Eukaryota; Metazoa; Chordata; Mammalia; Rodentia; Muridae
Source: RefSeq, a predicted model, not a curated record
GCUUCCCCUUGUCUCUGGCUGAGGAAAAGUGGUGGGAACUGACUUUUGCGCAUGUCUACAGCGAGGUUUGCACACUGUUGGACCUUCUUGGAGUGUUGCUUCAUGUACAGUCUCUUGGCAAUUCAUUGGGGUUGCUUUUAACUCUCUCUCUUCUCUCUCUCUCUCUCUCUCUCUCUCUCUCUCUCUCUCUCUCUCUCUCUCUCUCCUUUCCUUCUUUCCUUUCUCUUUCUUCCUUUCUUUCGCCCUUCCUCCUUUCUUUCUCUUUCAUUCAUUCAUUCAUUCUUUCUUUCUCCCUUCUUUCCUUUUCCUUCCUUCUUUCUCUGUCUUUCUCCAUUCCUCCUUUCUUUCUCUUCCUUCCUUCCUUCCUCCCUUUCUCUCUCUCUCUCUCUCUCUCUCUCUCUCCCUUCUUUCCUUUUUUCCUUUCUAGUCUUUCUUUUGGACUAUUUUGUUUUUCUCUUCCCAUAUUUUACAAACCUCCCUACCCACCCAACUUCAUAUUCUCUCUUUUCCUUCCAAAACGAACAAACAAACCAAACUAGCAGACUCAUCCACAAAAAUGCCCAAACUAAACAAAGGGAAACCAAAAAGCCCACCACAGAAUAAAACAAAACAUGGAGUUCAAUUUUUCUUGGCUUUGGUCACCUCUGGAGUGUGGUGGUUAUGCACUGUGAUGCUCCGUUGGAGAAAACCAGUUGUCCCUUGGCACACAGAGAGGCCCACAUCCAGCCAUGCCUUCCUAUUGGGUCUGUGAAGAAGCGUAUACUGGUAAGUUUUCUGAACUUUUCUUUGGAAUUUAUGGUUCACUUGUCUCCACAAAGGAUCAUCCCCCUAUAAGCAACAUGUAUAGGCAAGCAUAUAGUCUGUGUCCUGUAAUCAAACAUGUGGCCCCUAUAGACAAUAAAGACCUAGCUGGCAUUUAGUACAAAGACAGCCCUCAUGGUUGUUCAGUUGUGGAAUAUGCAGGGGAUCCCUUUCUAGAAUUUAAGCACCAUGCUGGAAAUACCAAAGACUAUUAAUACCCUGAACAUUUUUAUACUCUUGACUUGGCACGGGUGCGAGGUGGGACUGGGAACAUUUGCAGUGACUAUACCGUGAAGGUUGGCAGUCUGGGACUUGGCAAUGAGUGAUGCUUUCGUCUUGGAGCUGCAGACUGGUCCAAAUAACACAUUUGUAUUUUUGUUCUCUGGAGCUCUAGUCUCUUCUAGUAAAAAAAAAAAAAAAGACUGAUUAACAUGUAAUGGAUGUUACCCCAAAAUUUGCCUUUGAAAAAUAUACAAUUUGGUGUUUUUAGUUUCGUCCUGGAAUUGUACAAUUCUUUUUGUUGCUCAAUUUAGAAACUUAUUUUGGGGACAUGUUCCUCUUAUUGUUUUCUUCUAAUACUUAUUAGAAUAAUCUUAUGGUUUGUUUGUUUUAAAAAUAUGCACUGGUGCCCUGGAAUUGGCUCUAAGUAAAAUUUGCCUGAACACCUGUGUCAAAGAAGGUCUUGGGAACAGAGUCUCAUUUCAUCCGGUUUAGUGCCAUAGCAAGUCUUUGCAAUUCAGCGUUUACAGAGAGCAUGAUAGCUUGACGUUGAUUCACUGUAUUUCGUAUGUGUGUGAUGUAUUUGUAUGUUUGUGUGUGUGCGCUUGUGUGUAUAAAAAAUGUGAGCAUUGAGAGCUGAAGUCAGUUAUAUUCUUCACUCACUUUUCACCUCGAUUUUUGAGAUAGGUUCUCCCCUGAAUACAGAGCUGGUAGAUUUGGCUAGGCUGACUGGCCAGGAAGCUCUAGAGUGUGGCUCUCUCUAUCUCCCCUCAGUGCUGGGCUUACAGAUGCAUGCCGCCAUGCUUGGCAUUUUACCCAGUGAGCCAUCCAUCUCCCUAGGCCCUUAACCAAUUUUCUAAAUGUAGGAGAUGUUCUCCAGAGAAAAAUAUCAGGUCUAUGCAUUUGAAUGGGCCACGCUCGCCUGUCAGUUCAAAGCCGUGAAUUUAUUUUAAUUUCAUAAGACUCAUUACUAUAAAACAUAUGAAAUUUACAUGUGCACUCCACUGGCAUUGCAAAAUUUGAAAGAUGUCAUGAUACAGGUUGAUUAACAUAAAGCACCCCACUGUUUCAUGAAACAUACAGCUAAAAUACUAAUUUUUUUAUGAUUAUAGAACAAUAAUUACAGUAGUCUCACUCUCAACCUGUAUUCAUUUAUUUUGUCCCCAGUAUUUACUGCCUGCCAAGGUUGUGGAUGGGAUAAGGCACAGAUUCAGCCUUCAGGAACACGUUUUUGAUCCUCUCUAGCCUUCUUUAGUAUUUCAUUACAUAGUGCUUGAUGUUGAAUUAAAUUUCCAUUUUUGGGUAAACACUUAGCUCAAUUAACUGUCAGUCUCUGAUGUUUGAUAGCUUAGCUGACUCCUCCUUCCCUGUGUUUACAAACUCCAUUUUGUACAUGACUAUUUUCUCCCUAGCCCCACCCCCAACUCACUGAUUGACACAGUCUCCUGUCAAUAUAUCCAGUACUCCAUCUUUCCAUGUUGUUAGGGAAUAUAAUUUGAUGUUUUCUUCCAGUUAUAAUAACUAUAAAACCUGCUUCAUUUGCUUUUUUGGUGAAUACAAGUGAGUCUUGAUUUUUUUCAAACUUUUGUUUAGAUUUAUUCAUUUUAUUUUGUGUGUGUGUUUGUCUGCAUGUAUGUUUAUGAACCAUAUUCAUAUCGGUGGUACCUUUGGAUGUCAGAAGGGCUCAGAUGCCUUGGAACUAGAGUUACAGAUGGCUGUGAACCACCAUGUGUGUGCUGGGACCUAAACUCAUUUAGACUCUAUAAGGCCAAGUGCUCUUAACCAUUGAACCACCCCUCCAGCCCUGGUCUUGAUUCUCAAGUAUCAUGAGCUGAUGACAGCUCUGAGUUGACGCGUAGGCCUCCAGAAUCCUGUAAAAUUCAAACCCAGUCCUUAACAUUUGUGCUGGUCUGAAUGAGGAUGGCCUCAUAGACUUAUAUAUAAAUGCUUGGUCCACAUUUGGUGGAAUUGUUUGGGAAGGAUUAGGAGAUGUGGCCUUGUUGGAGGAGAUGUGUCACUAGGGAUGGGCUUUGAGGUUUCAAAAGUCCACACGAUUCUCAGUAGUCUCUUUCUGCCUCAUGGUUGUAUUUCAACCUCUAAACUUCCAGCUACUUCUCCAGUGCCCUGCCUGUCUGCUUGUCGCCAUACUCCCUGCUGUGAGGACCAUGAAUUUACCCUCUGAAACUAUAAGCACAUCCAAUUAAAUGCUUUCUUUUAUAGUCGCCUUGGUCAUGGUAUCUCUUUACAGCAAUAGAAAUAUAACUAAGCCCAAUGGGUGAGCAAAGUAAUUAAUAACUUGGUAGACAUGCAAGUAAUUUGUACAUCUUUCCAUAACAUUAAUAAUUAACAGUGUGCAUUAUUUCAGAAUUUUCUCAUAGUCAGUGGAGUUUGCCAAACUUGCGUUGAACCCCUGGAGUAGGUAGUUGGAGUGGAGAGCUACAACAUCUAUUGGAAAUUGUCCUCUAGGUGCAGCUCCCACAUAGAGAAAAAGAAUGCUGGGAAACCUCUGUCUCAUGCUUGCCCUGGAAAGAGAAAGCAGGAAUCAAUAUGACGGUAAUCACAUGCCAUGAUGUAUAUUUUUUUUUUCAGAGCAGAUAGAAAACAAUUUAGGUGUGUUUGGAUAAAGUUUGCCCUAUUUAUUCAUUUUAAGUGAUAAAACCAACGUACAGAAAAGUUAAUCAACUUGUUUAAAAGUUGCUUGAUGCUAAGUUAAAAUGUCAAGGUUCAAGGCCAGUGAUUUGGAAUCUCAACACAAUGCUCUUUUUGCUAAAGCUUCUUUUCAUUGUGUGCAUGAACUGGGUUACAUUUAUAGCUUUUCUAUUUCUAAAUCAGGCUAUUUUGAAAUCAAAGACCCUGUUCUUCAACAAUUUCUUCUCUUUUUCCUAACCUGCUGUGACUGUUUUGAAAUUCCGUUCAACUGCCUUAACUAGGGCCACUUGACCUACCUUAGUGGUCCUCAAAUGUAAGCAUGCAUCAGAGUCAGUUGGAAGCCUGACUAAAGUACAGGUUCUUGGGCUUUAUCCUUUAAAUUUCUUACCCAGUGGGUCUCAAUUAUGUGUGUGUAAGAUUCUGUAUCUCUAGAGCCGGGGAGAUGACUUAGUGGGCAAAUUGCUUGCUGUUCAAGCAUGGGUUAUCUGAAUUUAAUCCCCAUAGUCCAUGCAAAAAGUUAGGCAUGGUGGUGCAUGCUUGUACUCCCAGCACUGUGACAGUGGAGACAGGCAGAUCUGUGGGCCUCCUAGUUGGCUAUCCUAGCUUAAUUCACUACCUUCAGACUCCUGUGAGAGACCCUGUCUCGAAGGACAAGGUGGACAGCUCCUGGAGAAUUUGAUAUUGACUUCUGUAUGUUUGCUCACCCAUAUCCCCCACCCAGAAUGCACAGUACACACACAACUGUAUUUCUAAGAUGUUUCCAGGAGCCACUGCUCACUGGGGAACAUUUUUGGAACUCUUUGAGAAACUGGCUCAACAUUGUUCAUUGAUGAACAGGCUUUGUAAUGGCUGUCGUUUCUUUGUUCUCAAUACUUCAGCCAGUGCGAUGUAGGAAGUUAGCAGAUAUUUGCCCAUCUCAAAACUCAGUUGUCCUGUUCCGUCAGUCAUCCAGCCUUGGCUGCCACAUAGAGAUCAGUGUGAGAAUGACUACAUAUCUGCACAGAUGGCUUGUGAGUCAGCCUGGAAUAAGAGAGGGGCAACUUAGCAUGUCUGAUUAGCAUUUGCAGCUCCUCAGGCCCAGCCUGCCUCCUUCUUUCAACAAAAUAAUGCUAGGAAUGCCAAUGAAAAUAAGACAGCCAUAAAAUGAUAUGCUGAUGAGCUGCUGUGUGCCUCCCAUCUUUAAAGAUGCAGGGUUACCACAUUUCACUAGUACAAUGCUUUGGUACAGCAUGGCAUCUAAGGUAGAGAAUGUAAGUAUAGCAAAAACGAAUAUAAGGUCAGAUUUUUAGAGGACUUGCAAGAACCCAGAUUGCAUGCAGAAUGCCCUGGAAGGAAUGUGAGUUAGCUCUUCAGCCUGUGUUCUAUAGGAGAGCAUUGUAGAAGGAGAUUGCAUUGGUCAUCAAACAGUCAGUCUGUAAUAUCUGCCAUGUAUCUUGACCAAAUUGUGGUUUAUUCUUUAGUUUUCAAAUCAAAAGAUAGUAGAAUAUCAGCUCUUGGCUUUACAUAUUCAUGUAAAGAUGUCUAAUGUGAAAAGUUUGGGAAAUAUAAUUCAUUAGGAUGCUGUUGGAGGCUGACUUUGCAUUCUUGAGAUCUGAGAAUUUAUUAAGAUUUUCAACUUGAAUAUUAUAAAGGUAAUCUGGUAAAAAUUAUAACCAAUACUGAUUCCUUUGCUACUAAUGAUAACCUCAGUGCUUUAAGUUAAAGCAGUAUAUUUCUAAGGUAUAGGGCAUUUUAGUGGAAUAUUGAAAAUGUUUGGUUCUACAUACGAUUAAUUCCAAAAAUUCAUUGUACUGUCAAUUAUUUUUGUAGCAUAUAUUGAGUUGAAAAGACAUGAUUUUAGCUGUCAGCAAAUCUGAUGAACUAUGAAAUGAGACACCUCAGCUUAAAUCUAUUUCUCUGUCAAAUAGCCCCAGACCACUUCAGGCUAAGAGGUGCUGAAUAGAAUCUCAGGCGGACGCAUCCUGUGUGGGUUUCUCCAGUUUCUUCUAAGCCGCACUCACUCACUGGUGGCUGUGCCAUUGUGGGAAACAUCUAAACUGUUAAAACACGACUUCACCACCGAUGGUUCAGAGAAAGUGAGAGAUUCUUCCUCUCUAAGGAAGCUUCCCGCUGAGGAUGACAUACUAUUUUUAGAAACUACAUUGCAAAUAAAUAUCAGAAGUAACCGGUCUCUGUAAAACAGUCCUGGAACAAAGAACAAGAACGUCUCUGGGUUGACAAGGAGAGACUGUACCAUGAAAGAAAAUGAUAGGAGAGGCCAGCCUAGGAUCAAAACAAGAAACAAUGGGAAAACAAACAAUGACGCUUAUCUCUUCCACAGGUGAGUCCAGCUUCCUGGCUUUCUGGCAAUCUUACUGACCAAUGAAUGACAAUGAUGUGGGCAUCUUGACCACAGAUGCACCUAAUUUUCCUCUCUCCUACCAUGCAUUUUAAUCAUUUGUAAAUAGUACUCCCUCUGUGGCAUUCUUUUAAUGUUUACUGGGAAAGCAGUGUCCUUUUCAAAUGGAUGAACAUGGACCCUUCACCCCGCUGAUUUCCCUGAGGAUGUGGACGAGGGCACUGGGUCCUGUGGAGCUCUCCAGUCUUCUAAGAUGUAAAAGGCAUCACAGUUCACACUGCCUGUCUCCCUGGCAGUCUUCUCUCCAAUCCCCUUCUGCGGUCUCAUCAGCUUGUGCUUCCGUACUGUGGAGAGGUGGAACCUUUUCUGUGAGAGGAAGGAGAUGGAGGUGACUGUGAUGAUACAAGUAACUUACGUCAGAAUUUUUGUCAGAAGAAGGAGCAUGGGAUGUGUGUAACAUUGCACUGUGGAUAUGUACAUGUGUGUAUUGUGUUUUGGAGGUGCAUAUGUGUAUCUUGUAUAUGUGCAUAUCUAUACUGUGUGGCACGUGGAUUUAUCUGUGAAUGGUGGUUAUAUGUUCACAGAGGUAUGUUUAUAUGGUUUAUAUGUGAAUUGGUUAACUUUAGAGGCGUCUAUAAGUGCCCAUAAUGAAUUUCUAUGUGAUGCAUAAUGCUUGUAGAUAUGGUACGAAUGUAGAAUAUAUACUUCUAAGGGAUGUAAUCCAUGUACCAUGUAUAUAUAUUCUAUGUAUAUACAUUGUGUAUCUAUGUAUAUUUUGGAUAAGUGUAAAGAUUAUAUAUGUAUCUGUAUUUGCAUCAGGGUGCAUAUUUUAGGAGAUAAAAUAUAUAUGUAUAGCAAAUUCA